UGAGUUGUGUUCUUAGACAUUCAUUACAAUUGGUUGUUUGGAAUCCAUGUAGAAUGAGUACUGUACAUGUGGGCCUCACGUACAGUUGUGUAAAUAACACCCUAACUUCAUAGAGCAGAGCAACCUAAGGGCUCUGUCCUUCCUCACGCUUAAUGUGUUUUUGCCAUUUUCCCAAAGAAGGAUUUUUCAUCUUGAAUCCCAAGCUUAGUGGUUUGAAUUUUAACAGGUGGGUGAAGUGAUUAUGUUGGAGUUUGUCAAAAGUAAUUGCAGCAAUGUAAAGAAUGGGCCUUUGCACUGAAAGCAAGGAAUAUGAAAACCUCUGAGGAGGUGAAAAUAAGACUGGGGAGAAGCUGAUGAACUUGUAGGCCAAAAUCCCUAUUAGUGACAGGUGAGGUAUGACCAGUAAAUGGACAGUGGAGGCAUUGAUUUGAGUUGUAACACAGCACAUGCACAAAUUUUCAAUAUCCCUUGCCUUUGUCCUGAUUACUACAACGGUGGUUACUUUCUAAGUCAAACUUUAUAAAGCAGACUAAUCUUUGCCCAAAGAACCUAGGAUCACAAAGACAAGCCUUUUUUUUGCCUUCUUAUCUAAUGUUUAAUUUUCUUGCAUCUUUUGCUCAUUCAGAUUUUGUCAGAUUUCUGACCACCCCUGCCCCAAAACAGCACUACUCCACUGUGGUGUCAUGAUGAAGGCUUCUAAUACAGUAAUACCCCAGUCAUCUUCAGCCUCAUCUUGUUGCUAUGACAUCUCUAAAGCUGAAGCUUAAAAACUAAACUCAUGCCUGUCAGUGCUUCACAUUAUUAGCACUAAGUGUGAUUACAGCAAAAGAGGGAAAACAUAGUUAGGUCACUGUUUAUUUUAGAGUUUUGAUGAAGGGUUUGGGCAAAGUAGAUUACCGGAGCAGUCAGCUUGUCCAUUAGUGAUGCUACUAAGGAACAGGAUAAACUGUGAGUGUAGUAAUUGACCCCCAUCCGGUUUUGUUGCUAACACAGCUAACGGACCCCCAACACAGCUUAAGUAUUUUGAACUGUAAAAGUAUUAAAUUUCUUUGAGCAACAGAUCUAGGAGAUGAUCGUGGGACACUAAAUAGCAGUUUAGUUCUUUCUCCAUUUUCCUCCCUCUUUGUUCUUUCUCUCUAAUUUGCAUCACUCAGUCUCUUAGAAUGUUAGCAUCACAGAAAUUUUCAGUUAAGGAAGUAUAUACCUUCUUAAAUUACCAAGUUAAAACAUUAACCUGCAUCUAAUUAAUGUUAAAAUCUGGCAAAGAGUAGACCUACAGUCCCCAAGUGAUCUGGCUUCUGAACUUUGGUUUGCUUUCACAAAUGUGAACCAGUUUGACCUAAAUCUGGGUAUUUCAUGUAACAUCCCUAGAGAUUUAUUUAAAGUGUUUGUGGCAAUAACAUUUAAUUUAUAUCCAUUUAAUUGAUUCUGGGUACCUCUUGAUAAUGCAGCCAGGUUAAGCCAUAAAAACAAUGUAGAGUUUUCAGAGUCUUAGGUAUUUGACAGUGUUCCAUGUUUUUAAGCAUUUCUCAAAACUGACUAGUUGAAAUACAUCUUUUCUGUGAGCCAACCUCACCAGUAAUUCCACUUCAAGUGGGCAGAGCCUUUCUGAAAAUGGCUGAUCAAGAAUAAGUGACAUUUUAUUCCAAGGAGUAACCAGAGACUUAUUUUUUCUCCCUUUAAAUGUAAUUUAAAAUGCCCCAGAGGAUUAGUAAAUUAGGUCUCUUGGUAUAGCAUGGUAAUCUGAUCAGACUGUCAUGCCCAUAAACAGUGGAAAAGCAGGAUGUUGAUUCAUUUGUGUGCAUGUUUAAAGGGAGCAGUGGAUGGUAAUUCCCUUCUCCUACUCUGUUUCUUUGUUUCAUAUCAGGGCUCUUUAACACCUUAGACUAGAACAGUGUUUUAAAAGUUGGCCAGUUGCAUUUUGCUUCUCUGUUUCUACCUUAGUGAUGGUUCCCUACUCGAUCAUUUAAACACUGAUCCAAAUCUAGAUGGAAUUAGAUGCCUCUUCCUGCUGUGCUCCAUAGUCAGAAAGUCUGUAAUGUUUGAUAGGGAUCUUCUGAGUGGACAAGAUGAGAUUAGAUUGGUCUCACUGGGAGCCAACACUAUUCAUUUUGUAAGAAAGUUAUACUGGAGGCCUGAGGACUGCUGAGAGCAAAGUGGAAACAGAAACCAGCCUUCUCUUAUCAAGAUCCACAGUUGGUUCCACAUUAAGCACUCUGUUAAAGGAUUUGAAUAAUGAAUUAGAUCAAAAGCCAAGAAGGCGGUCCCUGCCACCCACGACUGGAAUAUGAGUUUCAUAUGUUGUAACUUUAUUACCAUUUUUUGUUUCAGUGUGUGACAAAGACAAAUCUCUGGCACUAUUUUUAGUUACUGGUGGGCUUCUCUCCUGUUUAUUGAGCCCUCUGCUUUCUCCCAUCCAAAUACUAACCAGACCUGACCCUGCUUAUUAGCUUCUGAGAUCUGACAAGAUGGGGCGCGUUUAGCAGGGUAUGGCCGUAGACGAGCCCCCUGCAAGCCCCCAGCUAGACACUGCACAACUGAGCACCAUGAGCUCUGACCUUUACAGUAAUCCUCAUAUUUAACCCUUUCCAGUUGUUUAGAACUUUAUAAGAUACUUUCACAUUUAUCCUCUCCUUAGAGUCUGACAUGCAAGGUAGAUACCAUUAUCUUCAUUUUGCUAUUGAACCCGGCACAGCUAGCAAGUGGAAGGUGAUUCUGAAUCCACCAAACCCUGGUGCCCCUCCUGCUAUCUGCCUUUCUCUAAAGUGAGCAGGAGCUAUAAUAUACACUGAACAGUAGUGGUGGUGCUUAGGCCAUAGUCGAAAAGCAUCAGUAUAACGUUGGAACUGCCUUACACCCCAGACCUUCUGACUAGGCUGCAGUGCUCUGUGUGUUAAGCCCUCUCCAUGGUUCCUACCCAGGCUAAAGUUCAAGAACCGCUGGACUAAAGCAGCAAUUGACAGAUGAGGGGAUUGAAGCUGUGGCUAAGUUGAACCUACCUGGUUAAGUGAUCUAUCUAAGGCCUCUCAUACCAGAAGUGCUUCUGGGGAAGAGGAAAGUACAUCACUAAGAAGAAAAAUGUCUCUCGUGUGCUAUUCUGGGGGAGCCCCAAGGACUUUAAGAAAUGCAAGAAUUGUGCUGCAGGCCCAAACUUAGAAACUGAAGGAAAGUGUAUACCAUAUUCCAAUUAUACUGCUUCAUGGCCUUGCAUAGCUGCUUUGAAGGACGGAUCUUUAAAGAUUUAUAAACUUGGGUGGGUGGAUGGGUAGGGGAAAGGACACCCACGCUUUCUUCCUGCUUCAAGCAUCCCAGCUCUCACUCUCUUUUUUCUCUAGUUUUGCAGCUCAAAAGCCCUGGAACAACUGCAGCUGGGUGAGUGUAAUAAACAGGUACCUGAGAAAAGGGGUCAAGUUCAAUAUGAUGUUUGCUGCCCAUGUCCCCAGACACUGUGGGCCCCCACAGUGCUCACUAAGCCCAGCUUCUUGCUGCCUGGCUUAGGACAGCUAGGGACGACCUUCAACAGAGGCCUUGAAGGAUAGUCAGUUUAAAGAGCAAGAAUGAGAUUUUUGGCCACACACUUUCAUCCUUAGCACCUGAGAAGAUACCAGGUGGCCAAGAGAAAUGUAGACCAUGGCUAUUCCCCUGUGCCUGGCACUGCUGUUGUGCAGAGGGAAGAGAAGCACCAGAGAUGGGUUGGUGAGGACUUUCAAAGGUCUGACCGCCAUGUUCAGUGUAAGGGAAAGUGCAUUUGUCUUGAAGCCAGUAUCUUAGCUUCCAGUUCUGACUGCCCUUUCCUUACUUGGGCUUCCAGCAACUACUAAAAGGCUUUGUUUUCUUUCUGUUGAAGGAGAGAAUGCUAUCUAAGUACAGAUUGAGCAUCCCUACUGUGAAAAUCUGAAAUCCAAAAUGCUCCAGAAUCCAAAAAUUUUUUGAACACAAACAUGCUGCCAACAAGUGGAAAAUUUCACACCUUACCUCAUGUGACAGGUCACAGUCAAAAUCCAGGCACCUUUAGCCUGUGUGUCUGAGUUGUAUAUGAAACAAGUGAAUUUCAUGUUUAUAUUUUGGUCCCAUCCCCCCAAUAUAUAUAAUUAUUUCCAAAAAAAUUUUUUAAAAAUCUGAAACAUUUCUGGUCCAAAUAUUUUGGAUCAAGGAUUCUCAACUUGUAUUCAAAUUUGAUCUUCUGACUCAAAAUCUUUCUUCGUGCUGAUGACAGAACUGUCUUCCAGAGAGAAAGUUCAUGUUGCUCCUUCCCUUGCAAAGUUUUGGUGCCUUCUCACCCCUGUGGCAAGGAGUUUCAGCUCCUGCAUAGAAGCAGUCAAAGCCUUCUAGGACAUGUCCCUAACUCCCCUCUGUUUACUACUGAGCUCUCCCAUAACCUGGGCCUAAAGGACCACUCGUGCAGGUGUUGGUGCCUUUGCGCAUGUGCUUCUAUCAGUUCUCUGUGGAAAUCCUUGCCAUUCAAGAGCUGGCUCAGUAGCUUCUCUCCGGAACACUUUCUUUGAUGCUGAGAGUCAGAAUUAGUUUUUAUACCCACAAAGCCCAUUGCUUGUUCAAUAAUAGUGACGUGAAACGCACAUCCCUUUGGAAUGAGAUGGACUUGACUCAGCCCUCGAUCUCUCACUCACAGCCAUGUGACUUUUGGAAAAUCACUAAAUUGCUUUGUCUUACAAAAAACCAAACCUUACCUUACCUUAAAAUGUUGUACAGGUUGAAUGAAGUCAUAUGUACGAGACCCUUGGGAGAAGAAAAUUAUGGGUGGGCUGAAGGCACUAAACGGAACCCCAUUUCCUAACAUUGCUUACAGGGUCUUCUGGACCCUCCUGUUCUCCCCAGCAGGUGGAGAGAUCCCAGUGGAGGUCUAUGCUGGCCAUCUUCUGUCCUUUUUUCCCCUAGUACUGGCGACUGAACCCUUUCUGUUUUUUACUUUGAGACAGGGCCUUGCCAAGUCACCAAGUUGCCCAGGCUGGCUAGAAUUUUCAGUCCUCCCCACCCUACGCCAAGUCCCUGUCAUGGGUUCUGUGGGCAUUGCCUCAAUAUUUACAACACUGUAAGCACUUGAUUUCUCAGGUCCUCAGUUUCUCUAUCUGGGCAGUAGUGACAAAGGGUAGCAAAAAAGGACAUCCUGAGCUUAAAGAAAAAUUCCCAGGACCGAGCCUAUUGUUAAUUGGAAAAUAAAUAGCUCUCAGUUGAGCAGGAUUCUCCUUUAAGGGGAGCCUCCUGCAAUGUGGGUCGGGAGACAGUUACACCUCCUUUGAGGAUAAUAAUGACUGCCCCUAACUUCUCUGGAAGAACAUUGGGAAGAUAAAUGAGACAAUACACCUGACAGCUCUUUGAGUGCUUGUGAAAAAGAUACCCUUCAAAUAUAGGAUACAAGUGUGCUUUGCUUUGACUUGUGAAUUUGGGAGAUUUUGUGAAAAUCUGAACCUACAAAACAGACAAAUUAAGGGGUGAAAAUUAGCAUCAGAAACAGCCUGUUGGCUUGACAGAAAGAUUCACAGCAGGAUCCCUUAAAUAGCCAGCUCCCCUGGUGCAUUUAAAAUAUGACUCAAUUUACAAAGAAUUUGAUUUACAUAUACCCAGUUAGGAACACUACUACUAAAGGAGAGGCACUUAUGUUUUUUACAAUAAAGAUCAAUAACUGUGGGAUUUUAAAAAUAUAAAAUAUUUCUUUCUUUUCAUCAUCUUUAAUUCUGUAGUUAACACUUUCAGUGCUGGGACCCAGGAGCACAUUUUUCAGGAAUGUGCAGGCAGAACAGAGUGAUCCAGCUGAUACCUGAUUAAAUAAAUAAAUAAACUGGCUUGAGAUCACAGCUGAACAUAAUGUGCUUUAUCUAAUUGAGUUAAAGGAUUUCUGGCUUGAAAGAUUAAAAAUCAAUAAGCAGUGCAUCUCUGAUGUCUGAAAGAGCCUGAUAUGGAAAAAGGAUCAUACGUAGUAGGUACAAAAGCCACUAGAAAUGAGUGAGCUCUGUCAUUGUUCAGGUUUUCCCCUUUGGGAGUAUAUCAGGUAUGGGUGUGCGUGUGCGUGUGUGUGUGUGUGUGUGUGUGUGUGUUCAUGUGUACAUGCCAGCCAAUGUUGGCAAGUGUGAGGGGAGUACUGUGGUCCAAAUAACACCUCUCAAAGAUGAACAUUUCCCAGGGGCCUGGGAUUUAGCUCAGUGGUUCCGCUGCCUGCCUCGAAAGCUCAAGGACCAGAGUUCAAUCCCCAGUACCAAAAAAAACCCACACACACAAAAAAGAUGAACACUUCCCAAUCUUCCUAUUCUCCUAAACCCGUGUCAGAUGGCAAGGGCAAAUUGAAGCUGGAGGUGAAAUUCAAUUUGCUAGCCAGCUGACCAUAAAAAGGAAGAUUUUAUCCUGCGUUAUCCAGGUAGACCUAAAUCAUCUAAUGUAUGGGGCUCUUAAGAUAUGGCUGGAUGAGGUGGUACAUGCCUUGACAUCCCAGCACUCCAGGAGGCUAAGGCAAGGCGGGAGCAGUUCAAAUUCCAGCCCAGCCUGGGCAGUUUAGUGACUUGGCGAGACCCUGUCUCAAAAUAAAAGGGCUGGGGUUGUAGCUCAGUGUGAAGAUUCUGGGCUCAGUUUUUACUACGGAAAAAAAGAGGAGGAGGAGGAGGAAGGAGAAGGAGAAGAAGAAAAAUUGGUGUUCUGCAAUGCCAUGGGGAAAAGGCCCAAGUGAGCAUUUUCUGAAGGGGCCAAGAGCCAAGGAAUGUGAGCAGCCUCAGAAAGCUGGCAAGGGUAAGAAAGGAUGGUCUCCUCGGCCUUCCAGAAAAGGAACAUGGUUCUGAUGAGACCAUCACUGUGGCCUAGUGAGACCCUCAAGAACUGUAAGAUAGUAAGUUUGCAUUUGUGUAAGUCAUUAAUUUCCUAGUACUUGUCAGAGCAGCCACAGAAAACAAAUGAGGGGUCGGUGAUGUCGCAGCCUCAUCGCACCCUUCCUGAGGAUGAGGCUGUGCAACAUCCCGGCAUGUUGUCAGGAACCUGGAUGCGGCCUCCAGUUGGCUGUGUCCACAGACAGGUCUCGAAUGCACAAAAGGAUAUUCUACCCGACCGGGAGGCAAGGUGCUGGAGAAAACGGAGCAUGGCGGCCUGGCUGCUGGACUGUACUGUGUGCCAAAUGAGCAGGGAAAAGCCCUAGGCUCCCUGUGCUGACAGGACUCCUCUCUUCCAGCCAGCUUUCCACUUGUAGUCCGGCCCCCAGAGUCAAUGGCACAGGUCGGAACAAUUCCAAGUCUCGCCCAGAGCCAUGGGCCGCUCCUCUAAGCUUCUCCAUGUCUGCCCUUGUCACUGGAUGGGGUCUGAGGAGAUCCUUCCAGGCUCGACCUUCCCACUAUGUAGGUUGGGAGACUUUCAUCCUAGAAAAGCAUGUCAGGACAGGUCCCUGAAAGGCACAGGCAGAUUUAUUAAGCAGAAUCAAAAAAGGACACAUUCAGAAAGGAAUGCAGGGACUUGAGAUGUGAGGCACAUUGUUUAUGUUCUGGGGCUCAGGGUAUUUAUGUGGUCUCAGGGGUGGUACUCUGGAAUUUGUGAAUCUAUAGGAUCAAAAAUCCAGGCCCAAUUCACAGGCAAAAGGCACCGGCCCAAUUUACAGGAGAAAAUCAUGGGGCCCAAUGUAUAGACUUACUGUAUCAUUAAGACUCUUGGGAAUCUAGGAGUGAGUAGCUUGGAAGGGGUGGGAAAAAAGAAAGCAUUGUGACCUUGGAUAACUGUGUCCUGAAGCUGCAAUUUCCUUUAAAGUACAAUUUAAAAAUUAUAAUUUUCCUCGUCUCCUUUCUAUGUUUAUUUCUCCUGUCCUCCCUCAGCAUCAGCAGCUUGGCACCAUCGGGAACUCCUUGUGUCUGCCGGCCCUUCCCUUUGUCCUUCCAGCAGGUGCACGAGCAGAGCUGGCUGGCCUGGAGCAGGCAGGACGUCAGUCGUCAGUCGGAGGGACCGUGGGGCACCCUUGUGCCCUUGGCCUCGCCUGCACCUGAAGGAAUCGCACCUUUCUACCUCUUGUCUCCCCACUGUGCUGAGUGCACUUGGGCAGUUUCUACUCCAUUCUUGGGCUUCAUCCUGGUGGGUGUUUGGUGAAGGGAGAGUGCAGGCAGGGAAGCUCAGAGGGGAAAGGGAGGGAAGCCCUGUGCUGUGUAAGCCCGCCUGUAUUCUCUAACCCAGCUUCUUCCAGCAACAGAGCUGAUGCUCUGAUCUUCAACUGGUUCUACACCAGUUAUCAGGUGGAGGGAUGCAAUUAAUUGCCCCAAUAUUUACCAUGCCUAGUUUCCUAAUAUAGUUUUGAAUUCUAAAAUCCCAGAUGGUGAGAAAAAACACAAAUGUGAAUCUCUGCUUGCUCUUUAACAACUGUGUGAUUUGUAGUAAACUGACUCACCUCUCCAAACCUAAGUUGCAUCUCAAGAAUACGGGUACUAACAGAAUCCACUUCUUGGGGUUGUUAUAAGGAUUACAUGAGUGAUUUUGUAACUCUUAGCAUGGGCCCUCUUUUAGAGUAACAGGAAGGGAGAACAACCAAUAGAACAUUAACCAUUGUUAGCACGAUUUUUGUUGUCAUUAAAGGAUGGUAAUUGGCCCUCUCUGUUGGAGUUUUAGCUGAAGCAUCAGCUUCAUUUUUCAUAGUGAGAUGCUUGCCACAUAGGCAGGGUGUGCAAGGGAGGUGUUUCAGGACUGAUUUUACAACAAUUGGCUGCAGAUUCAGGGGCCAAAACAUCGGCGGCAAUUGGAGAAUUUUCUUUUAAAAGAAGAAUGCGAUGGGUUUGUGUCCUACUCCGCUUUCCUCAAGCGGGGAAGUGAGUGUGUUUCUUGUGGAUCUAUCAGGCUCUGGGAAUUGUCUGGCAGGUCUGCGAACCUGUGGGGAAUGGUCUGCAGGCAUCAGGGGCAGGUGAGAGGUGUGUGCAUCUGGGCUGAGGAUCCCUCGAGGUGAGGAAAGUCAGCUUUAAGUGGGGUGACUACAUGUCCCGUGUACCCCGGACAGCCUGCCUUUCUAUCUGCUGUUGUGGUGACUUAUGGAACACACCUACUGUCUUCCCUUUUUUGAAUUUUUUGUUGUUGUUUUGUUUUGUUUUUUGGUACCGGGGGUCGAACUCGGGUCCUUGCACUUGAGAGGCAGGUGGCAGA
Non-coding RNA from Heterocephalus glaber (naked mole-rat), 9105 nucleotides. The record is from RefSeq and is a predicted model, not a curated record. Lineage: Eukaryota; Metazoa; Chordata; Mammalia; Rodentia; Bathyergidae.